This 253-nucleotide ribosomal RNA is filed under the name uncultured bacterium. Its description in RNAcentral is "partial 16S ribosomal RNA". It matches the Rfam family "Bacterial small subunit ribosomal RNA", at positions 524 to 776 of the family's 1533-position model. The record is from RNAcentral.
GACAGAGGGUGCAAACGUUGUUCGGAAUUACUGGGCGUAAAGCGUGUGUAGGCGGUUUGCUAAGUCGGGUGUGAAAGCCCCGGGCUCAACCCGGGAAGUGCACUCGAAACUGGCAAGCUAGAGUACUGGAGAGGUUGGUGGAAUUCUCGGUGUAGAGGUGAAAUUCGUAGAUAUCGAGAGGAACACCCGUGGCUAAGGCGGCUCUCUAGUACGGUACUGACGCUGAGACGCGAAAGCGUGGGGAGCGAACAGG